RNAcentral lists this ribosomal RNA (251 nucleotides) under uncultured bacterium. Its description in RNAcentral is "partial 16S ribosomal RNA". It matches the Rfam family "Bacterial small subunit ribosomal RNA", at positions 525 to 775 of the family's 1533-position model. The record is from RNAcentral.
ACGUAGGGGGCAAGCGUUAUCCGGAUUUACUGGGUGUAAAGGGAGCGUAGACGGACUGGCAAGUCUGAUGUGAAAGGCGGAGGCUCAACCCCUGGACUGCAUUGGAAACUGUUAGUCUUGAGUGCCGGAGAGGUAAGCGGAAUUCCUAGUGUAGCGGUGAAAUGCGUAGAUAUUAGGAGGAACACCAGUGGCGAAGGCGGCUUACUGGACGGUAACUGACGUUGAGGCUCGAAAGCGUGGGGAGCAAACAG